Molecule: unclassified non-coding RNA, 218 nt
Filed under: Hevea brasiliensis (rubber tree)
Lineage: Eukaryota; Viridiplantae; Streptophyta; Magnoliopsida; Malpighiales; Euphorbiaceae
Source: RNAcentral
GUAAAUGUGUUCUUCAAUUUGUUUGAUCUCAGCCCUCUUGGAUGCGCCUUUUCGAGUCGUCUUCAGCAGCCAAAGAUUUGGUUAAGAUAGUAUCAAGGUUGCUAUGUGUCUAAAGAAAGAAAAGAGCUUGAUGAUUAUCUUGGAUUGAAGAGUAGUUGAAACUUGGAAACCGCAUAUUCAUUUGUUAUUGAAACUUAUUUAAAGUAGCUCAGUUUUGU